This is a long non-coding RNA of Nyctereutes procyonoides (raccoon dog), 2358 nucleotides long. RefSeq lists it as uncharacterized. The record is from RefSeq and is a predicted model, not a curated record. Lineage: Eukaryota; Metazoa; Chordata; Mammalia; Carnivora; Canidae. The transcript has 3 exons.
AACUUACAUUAAUUUUUAAACACACACACACGUUAUUAAUGCUUCCAAGUUUGUCGCCACAUCCCACUUCUGCACAUAUAUCACAAAUUAUGGAGAGCAUGUAAAACAAAAGGAAAUCCAACACCAUGAAAAUUGGUAGACCCACAUUCAGAAGGGAUUGCAUCUAAAUUAAGUCCUGACUAGUUCUCUUGGAUCCUGUUUCUGAUGGAUACCUGCAUUGUUUGACCAGCAACCUUCCUUUCAAAGAGCCACUACUCCCCUCUCCACGUGGCCCUGGUUGGCUGUCCAUCAUGGGACUCAACCUCCCUACUGAGGGAUUUGGUUCAAGGGUAAGUAGGAUAUGACCUGAACAGCACCAUGGUCUUCCCUGAGAAAUUGUGGAUUCUGGAAAAGAACAUUUCUUGCUUCUCCUGGGAUAAUGAGAUAAAGCAUAACUCUGGCUAGAUCCAUUUGUGGUCCUUUUUCUGAUAUUAAGGGGCAUAUUUUACAGCAGAAGAGAAUAGCAUUCCCACACGCAAGGUGAAGCAGUGGCAAGCUGCUGGGAUAAACAGGUGGAGGGAGAGAGGGAGUUAAUCCAUGUGACAUUAUUUUAGUCCAUGGACCUAGCCAUGUCUGAAAUUGGUUAGAUCCUCUAAGGGUUCCUCCCUGCCCCUCUCAACCCCAAGCUAGUUUGAGCUGGGUUUCUAUCUCACACAAUUGAGUUUUGACUAAUGCACGCGUGAUUUAAGGACGUGGUUAGAAGAACCUCAGAGAUAUUUUUCUUUGUGACUGUAAGAACCCUGCCACGUCAGUGAGGAGGCCCCAGUUCUUGGGCCAUACAUGAGGGAUGAUAAUCCCCACGGCAGGGUUGUACGGAUUAAGGAGGGAACUCAGCGAGUCUGUCAUAGUGCCUGCCUCACAUUAGGAGGUGUACGAAAGCCCAGGGCAUCUGCCAGCCUGCUGCCAUUUGCUCUGUGUCCUUGACCACUCUCCCCCUCUGCCCAGACUGAGUCAGACUCUGCUGAGAACAGUGCUUGGUCAGGUAGUAGUCAUUGCUCACUGUCAUCAUCGUGGUUGUAUUCUCUUCAUUUGUCCUAUAAAUGCAGCAACACCAACAGAACAUUGAAUAUGUUGUGAGGGUACUCAGCGUUGGUUAGGUCAUUACUGUUCCGGGUGGGAGAGCAGCCAUGGGUGAGGCUAAGUGCAACUUCACUGCACUGAUGUUUUUGGCUGCAGGCACUUCCAGCUUGAGCUAAACCUGAAGCUGGGUGGUUAGACAGAAGGGGGAGGGGCAGGAAGAAAAAAAUGUUGGGGUUGAUAUUUUUCAAAUUUUUUCUGCUACCAUUUGCAAUUGUUUUUGGUCUCAUUUGUCCUCUUUCUGCAGUGAUUUCCAGAAGGAAGUUUGCUGUGUCAGAAUCCACAAAAGCCAUGUAUCUGUUGCUGUCAAAGGGACCAGGGUUCAAAUAGUCUUUCGGAAAAGUAAAGUUCCCAGAGAAGAAAUCAUGGAGGUUCCUUAAGCACCUUGACAACUCAGGCCUAUAACAGGGAUCUUGGGAUCACAAAGGCCUGCACAACUGCAGCACUGUCUUGGCUCUUGCUCUACACACCCUAGCCACUGCUAACCAGGGGCACCCCCAGACAGGAGAAAACAGAUGUCCUGGCUUACCUCACACCUGGAAGAUGAGUAGAGAGGAGAAAGACCAGUGGCAUGAGGCUGGCGGAACCUAUUCCCUUGAGGAGGUAUUACAUCUCCCCAGGAUGGAGUUGGUGCUAAGGAAUGGAGGUGAAAGGGGAUGUGUGGGUUCUGCCCAUAAUUUCAGGUUGACUUCUCCUGAUGAUAAACAGCUGGUGCUACCGAAGAGGGGAAAGGAUACAGGGUUGUUGCACUGAACUGGCUGGGAAGCAGAAUCUGGAGGAAGCUGGAGCUGGUGCCCUGGUGCUCCAGACAGCGUCAAGGAAUCACAGGUGGUCUUAGGGAGAUCAGCUUGUGGCUUUCCCUUAAUUCCCCUGAGGACCCGGAGUCUAGAGGUAGGUUUGGAAAUGUCCAGGGAUUUGUAAGCAAAGCUUCAGGGAGAAGGUUCGAGGCUGAAGUAAGAGGCUAGUAAGAACCCUGAACUUUAUGGUCAACUAAUAUUCGAUAAAGGAGGAAAGACUAUCCACUGGAAGAAAGACAGUCUCUUCAAUAAAUGGUGCUGGGAAAAUUGGACAUCCACAUGCAGAAGAAUGAAACUAGACCACUCUCUUGCACCAUACACAAAGAUAAACUCAAAAUGGAUGAAAGAUCUAAAUGUGAGACAAGAUUCCAUCAAAAUCCUAGAGGAGAACACAGGCAACACCCUUUUUGUACUUGGCCACAGUAACUUCUUGCAAGAUACAUCC